RNAcentral lists this ribosomal RNA (437 nucleotides) under uncultured bacterium. RNAcentral's name for it is "bacterial SSU rRNA". It matches the Rfam family "Bacterial small subunit ribosomal RNA", at positions 946 to 1379 of the family's 1533-position model. The record is from RNAcentral.
UUAAUGUCGAUGGCAACGACGAAGAACCUUACCUGGGUGUUGACAGGCACAGGACCCCGGCAGAGAGGUCGGUUCCCUUGUGGCCUGUGGGCAGGGGGGGCAUGGCUGUCGUCAGCUCGUGUCGUGAGAUGUUGGGGUAAGGCCCGCAACGAGCGCAACCCUUAUCCUAUGUUGCCAGCGCGUAAUGGCGGGGACUCGUGGGAGACUGCCGGGGUCAACUCGGAGGAAGGUGGGGAUGACGUCAAGUCAUCAUGCCCCUUAUGUCCAGGGCUUCACACAUGCUACAAUGGCUGGUACAGUGGGUUGCGAUACCGUGAGGUGGAGCGAAUCCCUGAAAGCUGGUCUCAGUUCGGAUCGCAGUCUGCAACUCGACUGCGUGAAGUCGGAGUCGCUAGUAAUCGCAGAUCAGCAACGCUGCGGUGAAUACGUGCCCGGGC